Molecule: ribosomal RNA, 465 nt
Filed under: uncultured Weissella sp.
Lineage: Bacteria; Bacillati; Bacillota; Bacilli; Lactobacillales; Lactobacillaceae
Description: bacterial SSU rRNA
Rfam family: Bacterial small subunit ribosomal RNA
Source: RNAcentral
CCUACGGGAGGCAGCAGUAGGGAAUCUUCCACAAUGGACGAAAGUCUGAUGGAGCAACGCCGCGUGUGUGAUGAAGGGUUUCGGCUCGUAAAACACUGUUGUAAGAGAAGAAUGACAUUGAGAGUAACUGUUCAGUGUGUGACGGUAUCUUACCAGAAAGGAACGGCUAAAUACGUGCCAGCAGCCGCUGUAAUACGUAUGUUCCAAGCGUUAUCCGGAUUUAUUCGGCGUAAAGCGAGCGCAGACGGUUAUUUUAUAUCCAAGUGAAAGCCCACAGCUUAACUGUGAGAGUGGUUUGGAAUCUGGAUAACAUGAUUGUAAUAGAGGAGGAUAGAAAUGCGUGUGUAGCGGUGAAAUGCGUAGAUAUAGGGAAGGACACCAGUGGCGAAGGCGGCUCUCUGGACUGUAACUGACGUUGAGGCUCGAAAGUGUGGGUAGCAAACAGGAUUAGAUACCCGUGUAGUC